AAAAUUGAGAGUGGAUUCAUGGAAUCUUUUUUAUUGAAAAUACAUGUUGGCUUGUUUGAUUAGUUGAGAGACUGCUAAACAUUUAUUUCAUAUAACUAGCAAAGAUCGAUAUAUCGUCGUGUACACAAAAGUACUACUGUAUAUGUUUGAUCGAAUCUGAAGAACCAAAUUUAUAUUUUCAGACUGAUUGUGUAUAUGGUCUCGUAAUAUACAAUCAUAUGAUAAUUAGCCAUCACUAAUGUAGUCAUGUCUUUAUGCUGAAAGAGUGUAGAGACUCUGCCGUCAUAAUGCAGCUGUUAACUACGAGAGCGAAGCUAAAUAUUUUUGAAAAGCUCCCACUUCAAUCGAACGGAGGGAAAAACCUCUUGCGCAUGGAAUAGAGUAGUCAACAAUCAUUUGUAAUUGUAAUAGAAAAAACUAGUUUAAUUAGAAAUUGAGCAUCAAAUUUAAACAGCUCUGUAAAAUUUUCUAAUUGUAAUAAGAAAUUUUUGUUAUAUCUGUCUUAAAAUAUACACCAAAGGUAGACACAAUAUCUCCUACAAGUGCACAUUCAACUUCUAGAUAUAGACAAAGUUCCAAACUU
This 583-nucleotide small RNA is filed under the name Arabidopsis thaliana (thale cress). Its description in RNAcentral is "ATSL108860". Lineage: Eukaryota; Viridiplantae; Streptophyta; Magnoliopsida; Brassicales; Brassicaceae. The record is from RNAcentral.